ACUGGUUGCCCACUGAAGCUAAGCAGGGUUGAGGCUGGUUAGUACCUGGAUGAGAGACCUCCUGAGAAAACUAGGUUGCUGCCUGCA
RNAcentral lists this ribosomal RNA (87 nucleotides) under Sinocyclocheilus grahami. The record is from RNAcentral. Lineage: Eukaryota; Metazoa; Chordata; Actinopteri; Cypriniformes; Cyprinidae.